AACCUUAUGGACCUGCGGGCGUAUACCUGCGGAGGGAUCAUUACAGAGUUGCAAAACUCCCACAAACCAUCGCGAAUCUUACCCGUACGGUUGCCUCGGCGCUGGCGGUCCGGAAGGCCCUCGGGCCCCCGGACCCUCGGGUCUCCCGCUCGCGGGAGGCUGCCCGCCGGAGUGCCGAAACCAAACUCUUGAUAUUUUUAUGUCUCUCUGAGUAAACUUUUAAAUAAGUCAAAACUUUUA
RNAcentral lists this unclassified non-coding RNA (240 nucleotides) under soil metagenome. RNAcentral describes it as "partial contains 5.8S ribosomal RNA, internal transcribed spacer 2, and large subunit ribosomal RNA". The record is from RNAcentral.